Molecule: long non-coding RNA, 234 nt
Organism: Hibiscus syriacus
Lineage: Eukaryota; Viridiplantae; Streptophyta; Magnoliopsida; Malvales; Malvaceae
Exons: 3
Source: RefSeq, a predicted model, not a curated record
AGUACUAUGGGUUUAAACUAGCAUCUGCUGCAAGGGAAGAUACCCCGAUCAUUGAAGUAGAACCCUAUAUUCCUUUUAAUAUUAAUCCAUCAGGAAUGCAACCUGUUCUCACUACCACUUAUCUAUUGGCUUUUCCAAGUAUUGUUGCAAGUAUCCUUGGUUCACCAUUUUGGGAGCAUGUUAAGGAGAUAUUGAACCCUGCAACAUCUGUUGGAGCAGAACCAUGGGUUUAAU